This 2351-nucleotide long non-coding RNA is filed under the name Phasianus colchicus (ring-necked pheasant). RNAcentral describes it as "lncRNA (ENSPCLG00000018930.1)". Lineage: Eukaryota; Metazoa; Chordata; Aves; Galliformes; Phasianidae. The record is from RNAcentral.
UCCAUACCGGUCCAUAAUGGUCCAUACUGGGAGGACUGGUCCCUGUCCAUACUGGGCAUACUGGUUCAUACCAUGAGUAUUGGUCCAUACUGGGAAUACUGGUCCAUACUGGGAGUCCCAGUCCCUAUGGGAAUGCCCUGCUCCAUACUGGGAGUACUGGUCCAUACUGGGAGUACCAGUCCCGCUCCAUACUGGGCUUACUGGUCCAUACUGGGAGUCCCAGUCCAUACUGGGGAUGCCCUGCUCCAUACCGGUCCAUACUGGUCUAUACUGGGAGGACUGGUCUCCGUCCAUACUGGGUAUACUAGUUCAUACUGGGAGUACUGGUCCAUACUGGGAUAACUGGUCUACACUGGGAGCCCCAGUCCCCAUGGGGAUGCCCAUGGUGGUCCAUACUGGUACAUACUGGGAGGACCAGUCCCAGUCCAUACUGGGAGUACUGGUCCAUACUGGGAGUGCCAGUCCUGGUUCAUGCAGGGCUUACUGGUCCAUACUGGGAGUCCCAGUCCCUAUGGGAUGCCCUGCUCCAUACUGGGCGUACUGGUCCAUACUGGGAGGACCGGUUCCCAUCCAUACUGUGCAUACUGGUUCAUACUGCGAGUCCCAGUCCCAGUGGGGAUGCCCUGCUCCAUACUGGGAGUACUGGUCUAUACUGGGAGGACCGGUCCCACUCCAUACUGGGCAUACUGGUCCAUACUGGGAGUUCCAGUCCAUACUGAGAGUCCCAGUCCCUAUGGGGAUGCCUUGCUCCUUACUGGUCCAUACUGGGAGGACCAGUCCUGGCCCAUUCUGGGCUUCCUGGUCCAUACUGGGCUUACUGGUCCAUACUGGGCGGACCGGUCCCAGUCCAUACUGGGCAUACUGGUCCAUACUGGAGUCCCAGUCCCUAUGGGGAUGCCUUGCUCCAUACUGGUCCAUACUGGGCAGACCGGUCCCGGUCCAUACUGGGCGUACUGGUCCAUACUGGGAGGACCGGUUCCCAUCCAUACUGUGCAUACUGGUUCAUACUGGGAGUCCCAGUCCCAGUGGGGAUGCCCUGCUCCAUACUGGGAGUACUGGUCUAUACUGGGAGGACCAGUCCCACUCCAUACUGGACAUACUGGUCCAUACUGGGAGUCCCAGUCCAUACUGAGAGUCCCAGUCCCUAUGGGGAUGCCUUGCUCCAUACUGGUCCAUACUGGGAGGACCGGUCCUGGCCCAUUCUGGGCUUCCUGGUCCAUACUGGGCUUACUGGUCCAUACUGGGCGGACCGGUUCCGGUCCAUACUGGUCCAUACUGGGAGUCCUACUCCAUACUGGGAGUCCCAGUCCCUAUGGGGAUGCCUUGCUCCAUACUGGUCCAUACUGGGACGACUGGUCCUGGCCCAUUCUGGGCUUCCUGGUCCAUACUGGGAGUACUGGUCCAUACUGGGCGGACCGGUCCCAGUCCAUACUGGGCAUACUGGUCCAUACUGGAGUCCCAGUCCCUAUGGGGAUGCCUUGCUCCAUACUGGUCCAUACUGGGCGGACCGGUCCCGGUCCAUACUGGGCGUACUGGUCCAUACUGGGCAUACUGGUCCAUACUGGUUAUCCCGGUUCCCCCCCCCNNNNNNNNCCCCCCCCCCACUCACCGGGCCGGGCCGCAGCAUCGCGCUCCGAUUCCGAUCCGCUCCGAUUCGGUUCCGAAUCCCUUCGGGUUCGGUUCGGCUCCGUUCGGCUCCCAAUGCGUUCGGCACCGUUCGGUUCCGAAUCCGUUCGGUUCGGAUCCGUUCGGCUCCGGAUCUGUUCGGGUUCGGUCACGAUCCGUUCGGUUCCGUCCCGGUUCGGGGCCGUUCGGGUCCGGAUCCGUUCGGGUUCGGCUCUAUUCGGGCCUCUUCGGCCGCGUUCGGUUCCGCUCUCGGCGCCGUUCGGUUCCGUUCGGUUCCGUUCUGGGUUCGAUUCGGCGCCGUUCGGUUCCGCUCGGUUCCGCCCCUCGGUUUUAUUCGGCCCCGUUCGGUUCCGUCCGGUUCCGUCCCCGUUUGUCCCCGUUCGGUUCCGUUCGGUUCCGCUCUGGGCUCCGUUCGGUUCCGUUCGGUUCCGCUCUCGGCCGCGUUCGGAUCCGUUCGGUUCUAUUCGGCCCCGUUCGGUUCCAUUCGGCCGCGUUCGGAUCCGUUCGGUUCUAUUCGGCCCCGCUCGGUUCCAUUCGGCCGCGUUCGGAUCCGUUCGGUUCUAUUCGGCCCCGCUCGGUUCCAUUAGGCCGCGUUCGGAUCCGUUCGGAUCUCUUCGGCCCCGCUCGCUUUUCUUCGGCUCCCUUCGUUUCUAUGCGGCUCCGUUCGGCUCCGUUCGGAUCCGCCCUCGGUCGAAUUCGCCCCCGUUCGGCUCCGAUCGGCUCCG